AUUGAACGCUGGCGGCAGGCCUAACACAUGCAAGUCGAGCGGAUGAAGGGAGCUUGCUCCUGGAUUCAGCGUCGGACGGGUGAGUAAUGCCUAGGAAUCUGCCUGGUAGUGGGGUAUAACGUCCUGAAACGGGCGCUAAUACCGCAUACGUCCUGAUGGAGAAAGUGGGUGAUCUUCGGACCUCACGCUAUCAGAUGAGCCUAGGUCGGAUUAGCUAGUUGGUGGGGUAAAGGCCUACCAAGGCGACGAUCCGUAACUGGUCUGAGAGGAUGAUCAGUCACACUGGAACUGGGACACGGUCCAGACUACUACGGGAGGCAGCAGUGGGGAAUAUUGGACAGUGGGCGAAAGCCUGAUCCAGCCAUGCCGCGUGUGUGAAGAAGGUCUUCGGAUUGUAAAGCACUUUAAGUUGGGAGGAAGGGCAGUAAGUUAAUACCUUGCUGUUUUGACGUUACCAACAGAAUAAGCACCGGCUAACUUCGUG
Molecule: ribosomal RNA, 484 nt
Filed under: uncultured bacterium
Lineage: Bacteria
Description: partial 16S ribosomal RNA
Rfam family: Bacterial small subunit ribosomal RNA
Source: RNAcentral